UACCUGUGUGACUGCGUACCUUUUGUAUAAUGGGUCAGCGACUUAUAUUCUGUAGCAAGGUUAACCGUAUAGGGGAGCCGUAGGGAAACCGAGUCUUAACCGGGCGUUAAGUUGCAGGGUAUAGACCCGAAACCCGGUGAUCUAGCCAUGGGCAGGUUGAAGGUUGGGUAACACUAACUGGAGGACCGAACCGACUAAUGUUGAAAAAUUAGCGGAUGACCUGUGGCUGGGGGUGAAAGGCCAAUCAAACCGGGAGAUAGCUGGUUCUCCCCGAAAGCUAUUUAGGUAGCGCCUCGUGAAUUCAUCUCCGGGGGUAGAGCACUGUUUCGGCUAGGGGGCCAUCCCGGCUUACCAACCCGAUGCAAACUGCGAAUACCGGAGAAUGUUAUCACGGGAGACACACGGCGGGUGCUAACGUCCGUCGUGAAGAGGGAAACAACCCAGACCGCCAGCUAAGGUCCCAAAGUCAUGGUUAAGUGGGAAACGAUGUGGGAAGGCCCAGACAGCCAGGAUGUUGGCUUAGAAGCAGCCAUCAUUUAAAGAAAGCGUAAUAGCUCACUGGUCGAGUCGGCCUGCGCGGAAGAUGUAACGGGGCUAAACCAU
Molecule: ribosomal RNA, 603 nt
Filed under: Salmonella enterica subsp. enterica serovar Muenchen
Lineage: Bacteria; Pseudomonadati; Pseudomonadota; Gammaproteobacteria; Enterobacterales; Enterobacteriaceae
Also listed under: 2 other names
Description: partial 23S ribosomal RNA
Rfam family: Bacterial large subunit ribosomal RNA
Source: RNAcentral